This is a long non-coding RNA of Chelonus insularis, 455 nucleotides long. RefSeq lists it as uncharacterized. The transcript is spliced from 3 exons. NCBI's taxonomy places the organism in Eukaryota, Metazoa, Arthropoda, Insecta, Hymenoptera, Braconidae. The record is from RefSeq and is a predicted model, not a curated record.
ACAUGAUAAACAUUAAUUGUGAAUUAACUUCCUGGGAAAAUUAUUUCAAUUUGGAAUUAUCAGUAUUCUUUACUGUUAAAUUAAAAAAAAGAAAAUUGUGUACUAUUUGCUGGAAGAGGAUAUUUAAACUGUUAUUAUUUCUUAAGUAUGGAUAAACCUUUUAACACCAGUGAUCAAUCAAUUGAAUGCUUGCAAAAAUCAGAUCAAUGUAUCAAAGUCUCCUCUGACGUCAGACAUCUUUGGUAUACCGUUCUUGUGCCGAAAAUGCCUUAUCAUUUAUAAAAGCUAUGGGUAUAUUUGUAGAGAACAAAACUCUUAGUUAUUUGUAUUGGGAUUUCUGUGAUACGGACAAUUGCAAUGGCGAUUAAUCGAUGAUUAUAAUUUUUUCGACCAUACUUAAAAAAAAUUAAAUUAUAAUUAAAUGAAUUAUGUUAUCAUGUGUAUUUAUAUGACUA